GCUGGAUCUGUGCUUCGGUGUGAGGAUGUAGGCACUGGGUUGUGCAAAAGCCAUUUAUUUCUGCCUUAUCGAGGGACUCUGUAUAAUGCUGCCAUUCCCCCCACACUUCUGUUCCGUUUUUGUUCUCAAGCCCAGGCGUGAUCUCACUUUCCAGGCAGAUACUUCUCUCCUAAGCGCUGUUCUAAAGAUCCCCUCUCUGUGUUCCUCAGGCUGGAAGUUCCUCUUUCAUUUCUUCCACAAUAAAAACAACUCAUCAUGGGAACUGAUUCGAAGGAGAUGGAAAGGAAUCCUCCAGCCUUGGAUCUUCUAGUGCCUCCAUCAGGAAUGCAGCAGGUUGCUCUGAAAGUGGCCAUCUCCAGAAUCCCUUUUUGUCUCAGAGCUGAAAGAAACGAGAUGAUGAUGAACGUGACACUUGAGUUGCCAUGGGAACACAGCAUGAAGCUCAUGUUAGCAGUGCUCCUUCCUGCAAGCAAGCACCGCUGGCUCUGGAGAUGGGCACAGGCAGCACCUGCCCAGGUGUCACCCACAUAAUCUAGGGGUGAACCGCAUUUACUUUACCAGAGGAAGAUCUGGAGGGAUAAAUCGCUGCAAGCCAUGCUGGGACACGUGAGAUGGUGUUGUUUUGUGAUCGUGAGCCUGGGUCUCCAUUAUGAUUACACUGCAAUGAGUGCCAAGACUGUGCCUGGAAAUUGGAUCAGCUGAGCCUUGAACAGUAGCUGCUGCUUUUCCCAGUGAGUCGGAAGCCAGCCUAUCUCUGCAGAGCUUCACCACCACGCUUGGACCCAGGUGCAGCCCAGACAACACUGAAAGCCCGAAAAUCUGCUGGCAGUGAUAAAUGCUCAUCUCCUUCCCCUUCUGUGCUGUGGUCCUGUUAACCCAGAUUCUGCCAAGGCUUCCAUCACAGAUAGGAAGAAGUCUGGAAAGCCACCUCCAUGCCCUGAUGCAGCACUACAACACGGCCCUGAAGUGGCAGCUGUGAAACGCAGAACAACCAGACAAAGCUGGUAACACAUUUGUACAGCCUGGGGUGUCGGGAGGAAUCAGCUCCACGGAGCAGACAAGGAGACAGAGAAGUGAAGUUUUAGGUUCUCUCCUCGGUUUGCUACAUUGCAAAGCAAGCUGUCCUCAAGUCCUUUGGGAAGCUUUUCUAUGCAACGAUUAUCCCUCUCUUCGAGUCUGAAAGGGAAUUACUGCACAUGAAUCUGGAGAGGUUCAGAGAAGCACUGAAAGGUUCUUGCAUUAGGGACUUCAAAGUGUGACCACCUAACUCCUGCCACCAGAAGCACGGGAGAUCAGAUGCCGGGAUGAGGGCCAGCAGAACUCCUUUCUGAUACAGCUCUUCCACUGAAGUCCCCAUGACAUUUUCACAGCUCUGCAUCUUAUCGGGUCUUGACCACAGAGGGUGGUUAAUGUGCAGCACUGCAGUACACACAGCCCAACCUGCUGCAAGAUGACUCCCCCAGAUGGAUCCCCUCCAUUGAGGACAGUAUAAGUCAAACAUUAGAAGGUGGGGCACAGCGCUGUGCUUGGGAAGAUGUUUUCCUUUGAAAUAAGGCUGAGCUACAAGGAAAAAUGCCUGCACAAGAGCUUUGCAGAAUAUAAGCUCAGGGCUUGCAGAGUUUGUCACCACAUGAGAAGAAGGGUCACAGAUGCAUGGUAACAAACACAGGCUCCCUCCUCACCUGCUGACCAGAAGGACUCGGCAAUAGCUUCAAACCCACGUGUUCCCAGAGCCACCUGUCUGCAAUUCAGCACCCCAUGGACACCGGCAUGAGCCUGAGAUGAGGCAGUACAGGCUCUUUUCUGCCCCCAGAAUGUAUGCAUCA
Non-coding RNA from Coturnix japonica (Japanese quail), 1826 nucleotides. The record is from RefSeq and is a predicted model, not a curated record. Lineage: Eukaryota; Metazoa; Chordata; Aves; Galliformes; Phasianidae.